This 74-nucleotide transfer RNA is filed under the name Bacteroidales bacterium. RNAcentral describes it as "tRNA-Trp". It matches the Rfam family "tRNA". From Rfam's summary of the family: Transfer RNA (tRNA) molecules are approximately 80 nucleotides in length. Lineage: Bacteria; Pseudomonadati; Bacteroidota; Bacteroidia; Bacteroidales. The record is from RNAcentral.
AGGGGAUUAGUAUAAGGGUAGUACAGCGGUCUCCAAAACCGUUAGUCUGGGUUCGAAUCCUGGAUCCCCUGCCA